CAUUCGCGCCUGUAUCUUGCUGAACCGUUACAAUUAUGGUCUUCGAUCCGGUUGAGCAAAAUUUCAGGUGUGUGAGAAA
Drosophila yakuba is the source of this 79-nucleotide non-coding RNA. The record is from Rfam. NCBI's taxonomy places the organism in Eukaryota, Metazoa, Arthropoda, Insecta, Diptera, Drosophilidae.